AGAGUUUGAUCCUGGCUCAGGAUGAACGCUGGCGGCGUGCUUAACACAUGCAAGUCGAACGAAGUUGUUUGAGAUUGUUAGGGAGCUUGCUCCACGACAUGAUCAAAUAACUUAGUGGCGGACGGGUGAGUAACGCGUGGGCAACCUGCCCUUCACAGGGGGAUAACACAGGGAAACUUGUGCUAAUACCGCAUAAGAUCGUAGAGCGACAUCGCUCAGCGACCAAAGGAGCAAUCCGGUGAAGGAGGGGCCCGCGUCUGAUUAGCCAGUUGGUGAGGUAACGGCCCACCAAAGCGACGAUCAGUAGCCGAACUGAGAGGUUGAUCGGCCACAUUGGGACGGAGACACGGCCCAGACUCCUACGGGAGGCAGCAGUGGGGAAUAUUGCGCAAUGGAGGAAACUCUGACGCAGCAACGCCGCGUGAAGGAUGAAGGUUUUCGGAUUGUAAACUUCUUUGACUAGGGACGAAAUUUGACGGUACCUAGAAAACAAGUCACGGCUAACUACGUGCCAGCAGCCGCGGUAAUACGUAGGUGACAAGCGUUAUCCGGAUUUACUGGGUGUAAAGGGCGUGUAGGCGGGUUUGCAAGUCAGAUGUGAAAUCCCGGGGCUCAACUCCGGAACUGCAUCUGAAACUGUAGAUCUUGAGUAUCGGAGAGGAAAGUGGAAUUCCCAGUGUAGCGGUGAAAUGCGUAGAGAUUGGGAGGAACACCAGUGGCGAAGGCGGCUUUCUGGACGAUAACUGACGCUGAGGCGCGAAAGCGUGGGGAGCAAACAGGAUUAGAUACCCUGGUAGUCCACGCUGUAAACGAUGAAUACUAGGUGUAGGGGGU
RNAcentral lists this ribosomal RNA (834 nucleotides) under uncultured bacterium. Its description in RNAcentral is "bacterial SSU rRNA". It matches the Rfam family "Bacterial small subunit ribosomal RNA", at positions 8 to 830 of the family's 1533-position model. The record is from RNAcentral.